UGCUGGGGGUGCCGAUGGGGUUCGGCUGAGAAUAAAGCCAUUGCUUUAUACCCUUGAACCUGAUCUAGAUGAUACUAGCGUAGGGAAGCGUUAAAA
This 96-nucleotide non-coding RNA is filed under the name chicken gut metagenome. RNAcentral's name for it is "TPP riboswitch (THI element)". It matches the Rfam family "TPP riboswitch aptamer (THI element)", at positions 7 to 92 of the family's 105-position model. Rfam says of the family: Vitamin B(1) in its active form thiamin pyrophosphate (TPP) is an essential coenzyme that is synthesised by coupling of pyrimidine and thiazole moieties in bacteria. The record is from RNAcentral.